This 269-nucleotide ribosomal RNA is filed under the name uncultured bacterium. Its description in RNAcentral is "partial 16S ribosomal RNA". It matches the Rfam family "Bacterial small subunit ribosomal RNA", at positions 123 to 406 of the family's 1533-position model. The record is from RNAcentral.
UACCUACCCCUAAGUGGGGAAUAACUGCCCGAAAGGGUGGCUAAUACCGCAUAAUCCCGCAAGGGUAAAGCAGUAAUGCGCUUAGGGAGGGGCCUGCGUCUGAUUAGCUAGUUGGUAGUGUAAUGGACUACCAAGGCGACGAUCAGUAGCUGGAUCGAGAGGUUGACCAGCCACACUGGGACUGAGAUACGGCCCAGACUCCUACGGGAGGCAGCAGUAAGGAAUCUUCCACAAUGGACGAAAGUCUGAUGGAGCAACACCGCGUGCAG